RNAcentral lists this ribosomal RNA (554 nucleotides) under uncultured bacterium. Its description in RNAcentral is "partial 16S ribosomal RNA". It matches the Rfam family "Bacterial small subunit ribosomal RNA", at positions 355 to 902 of the family's 1533-position model. The record is from RNAcentral.
UGGGGAAUUUUGGACAAUGGGCGAAAGCCUGAUCCAGCAAUGCCGCGUGUGUGAAGAAGGCCUUCGGGUUGUAAAGCACUUUUGUCCGGAAAGAAAUCCUUGGCUCUAAUACAGUCGGGGGAUGACGGUACCGGAAGAAUAAGCACCGGCUAACUACGUGCCAGCAGCCGCGGUAAUACGUAGGGUGCAAGCGUUAAUCGGAAUUACUGGGCGUAAAGCGUGCGCAGGCGGUUUGCUAAGACCGAUGUGAAAUCCCCGGGCUCAACCUGGGAACUGCAUUGGCGACUGGCAGGCUAGAGUAUGGCAGAGGGGGGUAGAAUUCCACGUGUAGCAGUGAAAUGCGUAGAGAUGUGGAGGAAUACCGAUGGCGAAGGCAGCCCCCUGGGCCAAUACUGACGCUCAUGCACGAAAGCGUGGGGAGCAAACAGGAUUAGAUACCCUGGUAGUCCACGCCCUAAACGAUGUCAACUAGUUGUUGGGGAUUCAUUUCCUUAGUAACGUAGCUAACGCGUGAAGUUGACCGCCUGGGGAGUACGGUCGCAAGAUUAAAACUU